GCCCCGUCCCUUUCAGCCAACUUCGUGUGGAAAAGCGACACCUGGCGCUGGUUGUUCAAAGACCCCCGCACCGGGAGGGGAAGCGGGCAGGGAGAACCAAGAGGACAGAGAUGCAACUGGACCUGGAGGCAGUGCGGAGGGCUGCAACAGGAUCCGCAGCAGCGGAAGCGACAGCGACAGCGAAUGAACUGAGAAUAUAAACCCCAAAUCGGUGCCUGGACUAAAGGACUGCGAUUGGGCCCAGCGGUGACGAAGCAGCAAUCUGUGACUGCUCGAUCGCGAGAAUCACCGAGCACCAACUUACAGUACACCCGGGUUGACACCACAGUGGCCACCUGCUCAUAUGUUGCAAGCAGGGUUGUCGCUCUAUUCCCGCUGUUACCAACAGAUUCCUCAGCAAACGGAGCUAACUUCGAAACCUCCAACUUGGUCCUAAACCUUCUGUCAUUUUAGGCCAAAGACAUAACUAAUGACUCAUUUUAUGGUUUUUCUUUUCCUGUUAAUGAUCUUGUACAUACUUGUUUUGUUUUGAAGCCUGUUCGAGACUUUACACAGUGAAGCCAAGUCAUAAUGUUUUGAGUGAAAAGCUCUGAAUUAUUAAGAAAGAACAGCAUUGGUAGUCUGAAGGUUUGGAGGAUGUCGCAGAAAGGUCGGGUGUGGACAGAAGCAUUGAUUGAGGGAACGUGAGGAAAGAGAUGAGGGAGAUGAUGAUGGAAGGGGGCAAGUAGUCAAGGUUCUAAAGGAACCUGUACAUUAAAAGAAAAGGAACAAUUUGGGAAGAGAGGUAACAGUAAAAAAAAAAAAACGGUGUUCUCAGAGCUACAAUUUAACUCAAGUAUAAGCAGCCACAAUUUUAGAAACCCUCCGUAUAGGGGGCAUUAAUCUGAUACCGCACUCUCAGUUACCUUAAAAAAAAAAAAAAAAA
Molecule: long non-coding RNA, 925 nt
Organism: Alligator sinensis (Chinese alligator)
Lineage: Eukaryota; Metazoa; Chordata; Crocodylia; Alligatoridae
Exons: 2
Source: RefSeq, a predicted model, not a curated record